This is a long non-coding RNA of Anoplophora glabripennis (Asian longhorned beetle), 503 nucleotides long. RefSeq lists it as uncharacterized. The transcript is spliced from 3 exons. The record is from RefSeq and is a predicted model, not a curated record. Lineage: Eukaryota; Metazoa; Arthropoda; Insecta; Coleoptera; Cerambycidae.
UGCAGUGACGAUAAUGUCUCGCGUACAAAUAGCAUGAAGUAUUAACACAUAUAUCCACGUUCUUCUGUCAAUAAAAGGGACUAAAGUAAAAAAAGGACCUUCACUUACAGUCGGGGCGCGUACUCUUGCAAACUUUUCCUCUUACUGGUUCUGUUUUCUUUUUACUCUGUGGCAAGAACCUAAUGAGUGCAUGUGUGUGUUACUCCAGUGGAUUUUAAUGUGCAUGUGAACGAUAUAGGUUUGAGAAUUGUCCACGUCGCGGCUGAAAUGGAUAUGCCAUUGGCGUGCAAGCGUCGUCGAUGUCGGAUGAUAUCCGACAACUACACACUGUUUCGGAAUUAGUGCAUAUUAGUGAGUGUUGAUGGUGCGCUGUCCAGCAAAAUCACAGUGAAAGAGAGUCGCGUCGGGUUUACUUAGUGAUUGGCGGAAUAAGCAGGGCAGUGGCGUGCUGCAGGGAUGGGGAUGGGGGGCAGCUGACGGUAGAGGAUAGCGGCAGGCGUCAG